Long non-coding RNA from Mirounga angustirostris (Northern elephant seal), 1642 nucleotides. RefSeq lists it as uncharacterized. The record is from RefSeq and is a predicted model, not a curated record. NCBI's taxonomy places the organism in Eukaryota, Metazoa, Chordata, Mammalia, Carnivora, Phocidae. The transcript has 4 exons.
AGCAAAACUACCAUAUCCCUUCGCCCCCGCGCGCCCUCCAAGGAGGCCGGGAGGAAGCAGCCUCCUCGGCUGCCUAUCCCGCCGCCAGUGAGUCAGGCAGCUGGCAGGGCAGCGAGUUGCCAGUCAGAGAGAAAGAGAGAGAGCACAAGCAGCGGAAGCAGCAGGCAGAAGGAGAAGGCUCCCCACUGAGCAAGGAGCCCAACGUGGGACUCAAUCCCAGGACCCCAGGAUCAUGACCUGAGCCAAACGCAGACACCCAACCAAUUGAGCCACCCAGGUGUCCCAGGAAUUUGUGAUUUCAAUGCCAAAGUGAAACUAUUGAAAUGAUACAUUACCUAAUAGUCGUUGAACUACGCCACAGGAAAGUUCAAAUAGUGACAAAGUGCCUUGAUUCCAGCAGCGAUUCCCCCGUCUGCUUUCGCCUUGGGUUUCCAUUGUGACCAUUAACUGCUGAAACUGAGCCCAGAGCCCUUGAUCACAAGAUCUGAACGUUGCAAGGGAUCCUAAAGAGAAAGCCGGCUGAGAUGGAACACUGGAACACUAAGAAAGGCAGAGCAGAGAGAUGAAAGAGCCUGGGAUGUUGCCGGCUCUUUCCCUCUCCAUUCUUUGCACUGACACCUGUCCGGAAAUUGUUGUUGGGUAAAAAGAUGAACGUUUAAUUCAGUUAACUUAUACAUUGGGUUUUCGGUUGUUUCUACCUGAGCACAAUCUCCAACUGGUGCAUGAUGGAAGUGUGUUUCACACCUAUAUUGUGUCGCCUGGAUUCUUUGGAUUACAUCAUCACCGGCCCUGUCAUGAUACACAUUAAACCUUACCUCAAUCCCCAGCUCAGAAAUAAAAUUUUCUUCCUUCUGUAUGCCCGUUAAAUUCUGAGCUACUUGUAGGCCUUUAUUAUUUCCUCUUUUAUUUGGAAUUUUUUUUUAAAGAUUUUAUUUAUUUGACAGAGAGAGAGACACAGCGAGAGGGGGAACACAAACAGGGGGAGUGGGAGAGGGAGAAGCAGGCUUCCCGCGGAGCAGGGAGCCCGAUACGGGGCUCGAUGCGGGGCUCGAUCCCAGGACCCUGGGACCAUGACCUGAGCCGAAGGCAGAUGCCCAACGACUGAGCCACCCAGGCGCCCCUUUAUUUGGAAUUUUUAUUGUGGAUUGUAAAUUUCUCAAAAGCACAGUCUAUAACUUCCUUCCUUAUACAUAGAAAAACACUGAACGAAUGUUUACUGUGUUGGAUUAAAAUCCAUAAAACUCACUGUAUAGUUUUCUGUUGCCUGAGUUUCGUAUGAAUUAGUUUUAAUCGUCUUUAAAUUUGAUAUAGACAUAAAUGCAAUCCACACCACACUGAUUUGAGCUCCCACUGAUUCUGUCAGGAACCAGCACCCUCUGCUCUUCCCGAGUUUCUGUUUAUUGCCUCAGGGGUCUGUAGAAACAAGGCCACCUCCAUAUGGUUCUGCUAGGCCUCCUCAUUUCCCCCCUGAGCUGCUGCCUCUGCUCUUGCUGAUACUGCCAUUCUGCCAUUCCAGACUUGGGGGAGGAAAUGCUGUAUUCGCUACCUUUUCAGUCCAGACUGAGACACAGAACUUUUUCUAAUUACUCAUUGCACAAAGAAGAUGAGGGUAUGCCUUUAAAAAAAAAAAACAAAACAGCAG